AAGGUGUUAGUCCAAAAAAGACAGCUGAUUUCGACUCAACUAAUUAUGGUUUAAGCCCAUAGCACCUUU
RNAcentral lists this transfer RNA (69 nucleotides) under Odorrana tormota (concave-eared torrent frog). RNAcentral describes it as "tRNA-Arg". The record is from RNAcentral. Lineage: Eukaryota; Metazoa; Chordata; Amphibia; Anura; Ranidae.